Transfer RNA from Arabis alpina (gray rockcress), 69 nucleotides. It matches the Rfam family "tRNA". Rfam says of the family: Transfer RNA (tRNA) molecules are approximately 80 nucleotides in length. Their secondary structure includes four short double-helical elements and three loops (D, anti-codon, and T loops). Further hydrogen bonds mediate the characteristic L-shaped molecular structure. tRNAs have two regions of fundamental functional importance: the anti-codon, which is responsible for specific mRNA codon recognition, and the 3' end, to which the tRNAs corresponding amino acid is attached (by aminoacyl-tRNA synthetases). tRNAs cope with the degeneracy of the genetic code in two manners: having more than one tRNA (with a specific anti-codon) for a particular amino acid; and 'wobble' base-pairing, i.e. permitting non-standard base-pairing at the 3rd anti-codon position. The record is from Rfam. Lineage: Eukaryota; Viridiplantae; Streptophyta; Magnoliopsida; Brassicales; Brassicaceae.
AGAUCUGUAAGCUCAAAACGGUAGAGCUCUCAUUACGAGAGGUUGGUGGUUCGAAUCCACCCAGAUCUG